Molecule: long non-coding RNA, 1392 nt
Organism: Monopterus albus (swamp eel)
Lineage: Eukaryota; Metazoa; Chordata; Actinopteri; Synbranchiformes; Synbranchidae
Exons: 3
Source: RefSeq, a predicted model, not a curated record
AUUCACACAUGCAUUUAGUCUUUUGUGAACUUUUACUUUUACUUCACUACAUUUCCUAAAUAACAUGUGUACUUUUACUCCGAUACAUUUCCACCUCUGCCUUUCCGUUACUUACUACAAAAUUAAAAGGGAAAAAAAGUCACGGUAAAGUAGGUUUCGAACCACAGGUGCUGGCCCACCUACACCUACAUCUCCAGCAGACUCAGAUGACCACCCGUGGCCAUAUCUGCAAGAGAUGUUUUCAUUUCUUGGCGUGAAGGAUUCCUCAUACCGAAUGAAGUGCCUCCUAUGCCUGGCGAAGGACACUGAAAUACUGGCUUUCAAAAACUCACCAUCCAACCUCAAGAAACACGUUGAGGUUCACACACAUUUGAUGUGCUGGAAAGUGCCCUAAAUGUAAAAGUAUGUGGCUGUCACGAGUCCAGUUUCCCAAGCCACCAACAUCUUGCAAGCAGAAGCAAAUAUCCAGAUGGGGUGGUUACUUCCAACAAUUAACCUGCUGACCACCAAACUUGACAGAGUCAAGCUGCCAUUAAAGUACUGCAAGCCUCUGGUGGAUGUCCUACAAGUGGGAAUAAAAAAUCGUUUUGGCCACAUGUUUGGGGACCCAGAGUUGAUUGCAGCUGCGAUUCUUCUUCCAAAAUUCAGAACAACUUGGACAAAAGCUGAUGCCAUAAUCAAAAUGGGAAUGGAAUACAUCAAGCAGCACAUGGAAGAACCCGCCAUAGGUGAUGCCACCAGGUCCAGUUCAUCAGAUGAAGAAGACUUCUUCUCUGUACUGCAAUCAUCUCCUGCACAAGAUAGCUCCAAACAACUGGAUGCAUACUUGUUUUGUGUAGCAGAUCACAUGGACUUGCUGAAAUCCUUCCCAGCUGUCUGCAAGUUGUCUGUGAAGCUGAACACACCUCUGCCUGCCUCAGCAGCGUGUGAAAGGCUGUUUAGCUGUGCAGGUCUUGUCUUCAGCCCAAGAAGAGCGAGGUUGGAUUCUUGUAAUUUUGAAAACCAACUUCUUUUGAGGUUAAACAGCAAAUUUUUCAGCUUUAAGUAAAGACUGUGUUGUUAAUGUGGGGGAGGAUGUGAAGAAUGAAGGACUAAGAGGAAGGGCUGACUGGGUUUAGGAAAAGAGAAAGGGACUGGACAAAUGGACAGUGAAGGAACAAAAGGGAAGGAAAAACUUUGUUUUGAAUUUGCUGAAUGGGAAAUGAGUGUGUGACCGCUAAAUGUCAGUCAUGGGUCUUCAUUAGAAAGGUGCAUGUUAUGGAAGCAGUGUUACACUACAGUUCAGUACAGGACAAUUUAGUUUUCAAGGCUGAUUUUUUUUAUGUACAGUAGGCUUUUGGUUUUUCUUGUCAUGGGGAAUUUAAGUUAAGAAUUUUAAGAAAAGAAGGCACA